AGCGAACGCUGGCGGCAGGCCUAACACAUGCAAGUCGAACGAACUCUUCGGAGUUAGUGGCGGACGGGUGAGUAACACGUGGGAACGUGCCUUUUGGUUCGGAAUAACUCAGGGAAACUUGUGCUAAUACCGAAUGUGCCCUUCGGGGGAAAGAUUUAUCGCCAUUAGAGCGGCCCGCGUCUGAUUAGCUAGUUGGUGAGGUAACGGCUCACCAAGGCGACGAUCAGUAGCUGGUAUGAGAGGAUGACCAGCCACACUGGGACUGAGACACGGCCGAGACUCCUACGGGAGGCAGCAGUGGGGAAUCUUGCGAAAUGGGGGAAAGCCUGACGGAGCCAUGACGCGUGAAUGAUGAAGGUCUUAGGAUUGUAAAAUUCUUUCACCGGGGACGAUAAUGACGGUACCCGGAGAAGAAGCCCCGGCUAACUUCGUG
Molecule: ribosomal RNA, 433 nt
Filed under: uncultured bacterium
Lineage: Bacteria
Description: partial 16S ribosomal RNA
Rfam family: Bacterial small subunit ribosomal RNA
Source: RNAcentral